This 634-nucleotide long non-coding RNA is filed under the name Marmota monax (woodchuck). The record is from RNAcentral. Lineage: Eukaryota; Metazoa; Chordata; Mammalia; Rodentia; Sciuridae.
GGGGACCAUCGGGGGACCAUGGGCACACACACACACACACUGACCCACGCACGGCCACAGUCGCUUGUCUUCCUUCUCCAAUCCACUCCAACCAGUGUCCACACGGACACUCACACGUGCGUGGGUACCAACGUGGCUCAGUGGCUAUCCCCCGAAAGGGCGAUCUGGGUCACACCAACACAACACAAAUGUGGGUGCAUCCACUCAAAGGUCCCUCCACACUCUGACACACAGUCACACACGACUCCCAAGCUGCUUUGGUGAAGUAGAGAGGAUAAGCCCCCCCAGUUUCCCACUCCGAAGAGGGACCUGAACAUUUGGGGAAUGGAGUUUGUGGAGUUUCCAUCUCAGGCUACAGAAGGCGAAAAAUGGAGCAGGGACGCUUGUCCUUAGAAGGUUAGGGAGGGAAGUCCCCUGCCCAGAGGGCUUCUCGGUUUGUCCUAGACGGAAAUCUAGUACCAACAAGGGCCCGAUCAAUCUGCGCACCCCUCCCAUUUCAGUCACUUAGGGACACAGUGGCCUUAGGUUCAAAGAGAAAGUGCUUUGCCCUGGAAGGACUGGGAGAAUCCAUAGUCAUGGGCCCAGGUGUGCCCCAGAGAGGGAGUGGGUCUGUCCCCUCUCAUCUCUAACAUUC